This 458-nucleotide ribosomal RNA is filed under the name uncultured bacterium. Its description in RNAcentral is "partial 16S ribosomal RNA". It matches the Rfam family "Bacterial small subunit ribosomal RNA", at positions 338 to 795 of the family's 1533-position model. The record is from RNAcentral.
CCUACGGCGGCAGCAGUGAGGAAUAUUGGUCAAUGGUCGGGAGACUGAACCAGCCAAGCCGCGUGAGGGAGGAAGGUACAGAGUAUCGUAAACCUCUUUUGUCAGGGAACAAAGGCGGGGACGUGUCCCCGGAUGAGUGUACCUGAAGAAAAAGCAUCGGCUAACUCCGUGCCAGCAGCCGCGGUAAUUCGGGGGAUGGGAGCGUUAUCCGGAUUUAUUGGGUUUAAAGGGGUCGCAGGCGGGGGGUUAAGUCAGCGGUCAAAGGGCGGGGCUCAACCCCGGACCGCCGUUGAAACUGGCACCCUCGAGUUGGCGAGAAGUAUGCGGAAUGCGCGGUGUAGCGGUGAAAUGCAUAGAUAUCGCGCAGAACUCCGAUUGCGAAGGCAGCAUGCCGGCGCCACACUGACGCUGAGGCACGAAAGCGUGGGUAUCGAACAGGAUUAGAUACCCGGGUAGUC